This 2903-nucleotide ribosomal RNA is filed under the name Escherichia coli TW14425. RNAcentral's name for it is "bacterial LSU rRNA". It matches the Rfam family "Bacterial large subunit ribosomal RNA". The record is from RNAcentral. Lineage: Bacteria; Pseudomonadati; Pseudomonadota; Gammaproteobacteria; Enterobacterales; Enterobacteriaceae.
UUAAGCGACUAAGCGUACACGGUGGAUGCCCUGGCAGUCAGAGGCGAUGAAGGACGUGCUAAUCUGCGAUAAGCGUCGGUAAGGUGAUAUGAACCGUUAUAACCGGCGAUUUCCGAAUGGGGAAACCCAGUGUGAUUCGUCACACUAUCAUUAACUGAAUCCAUAGGUUAAUGAGGCGAACCGGGGGAACUGAAACAUCUAAGUACCCCGAGGAAAAGAAAUCAACCGAGAUUCCCCCAGUAGCGGCGAGCGAACGGGGAGGAGCCCAGAGCCUGAAUCAGUGUGUGUGUUAGUGGAAGCGUCUGGAAAGGCGCGCGAUACAGGGUGACAGCCCCGUACACAAAAAUGCACAUGCUGUGAGCUCGAUGAGUAGGGCGGGACACGUGGUAUCCUGUCUGAAUAUGGGGGGACCAUCCUCCAAGGCUAAAUACUCCUGACUGACCGAUAGUGAACCAGUACCGUGAGGGAAAGGCGAAAAGAACCCCGGCGAGGGGAGUGAAAAAGAACCUGAAACCGUGUACGUACAAGCAGUGGGAGCACGCUUAGGCGUGUGACUGCGUACCUUUUGUAUAAUGGGUCAGCGACUUAUAUUCUGUAGCAAGGUUAACCGAAUAGGGGAGCCGAAGGGAAACCGAGUCUUAACUGGGCGUUAAGUUGCAGGGUAUAGACCCGAAACCCGGUGAUCUAGCCAUGGGCAGGUUGAAGGUUGGGUAACACUAACUGGAGGACCGAACCGACUAAUGUUGAAAAAUUAGCGGAUGACUUGUGGCUGGGGGGUGAAAGGCCAAUCAAACCGGGAGAUAGCUGGUUCUCCCCGAAAGCUAUUUAGGUAGCGCCUCGUGAAUUCAUCUCCGGGGGUAGAGCACUGUUUCGGCAAGGGGGUCAUCCCGACUUACCAACCCGAUGCAAACUGCGAAUACCGGAGAAUGUUAUCACGGGAGACACACGGCGGGUGCUAACGUCCGUCGUGAAGAGGGAAACAACCCAGACCGCCAGCUAAGGUCCCAAAGUCAUGGUUAAGUGGGAAACGAUGUGGGAAGGCCCAGACAGCCAGGAUGUUGGCUUAGAAGCAGCCAUCAUUUAAAGAAAGCGUAAUAGCUCACUGGUCGAGUCGGCCUGCGCGGAAGAUGUAACGGGGCUAAACCAUGCACCGAAGCUGCGGCAGCGACGCUGAUGCGUUGUUGGGUAGGGGAGCGUUCUGUAAGCCUGUGAAGGUGUGCUGUGAGGCAUGCUGGAGGUAUCAGAAGUGCGAAUGCUGACAUAAGUAACGAUAAAGCGGGUGAAAAGCCCGCUCGCCGGAAGACCAAGGGUUCCUGUCCAACGUUAAUCGGGGCAGGGUGAGUCGACCCCUAAGGCGAGGCCGAAAGGCGUAGUCGAUGGGAAACAGGUUAAUAUUCCUGUACUUGGUGUUACUGCGAAGGGGGGACGGAGAAGGCUAUGUUGGCCGGGCGACGGUUGUCCCGGUUUAAGCGUGUAGGCUGGUUUUCCAGGCAAAUCCGGAAAAUCAAGGCUGAGGCGUGAUGACGAGGCACUACGGUGCUGAAGCAACAAAUGCCCUGCUUCCAGGAAAAGCCUCUAAGCAUCAGGUAACAUCAAAUCGUACCCCAAACCGACACAGGUGGUCAGGUAGAGAAUACCAAGGCGCUUGAGAGAACUCGGGUGAAGGAACUAGGCAAAAUGGUGCCGUAACUUCGGGAGAAGGCACGCUGAUAUGUAGGUGAAGUCCCUCGCGGAUGGAGCUGAAAUCAGUCGAAGAUACCAGCUGGCUGCAACUGUUUAUUAAAAACACAGCACUGUGCAAACACGAAAGUGGACGUAUACGGUGUGACGCCUGCCCGGUGCCGGAAGGUUAAUUGAUGGGGUCAGCGCAAGCGAAGCUCUUGAUCGAAGCCCCGGUAAACGGCGGCCGUAACUAUAACGGUCCUAAGGUAGCGAAAUUCCUUGUCGGGUAAGUUCCGACCUGCACGAAUGGCGUAAUGAUGGCCAGGCUGUCUCCACCCGAGACUCAGUGAAAUUGAACUCGCUGUGAAGAUGCAGUGUACCCGCGGCAAGACGGAAAGACCCCGUGAACCUUUACUAUAGCUUGACACUGAACAUUGAGCCUUGAUGUGUAGGAUAGGUGGGAGGCUUAGAAGUGUGGACGCCAGUCUGCAUGGAGCCGACCUUGAAAUACCACCCUUUAAUGUUUGAUGUUCUAACGUUGACCCGUAAUCCGGGUUGCGGACAGUGUCUGGUGGGUAGUUUGACUGGGGCGGUCUCCUCCUAAAGAGUAACGGAGGAGCACGAAGGUUGGCUAAUCCUGGUCGGACAUCAGGAGGUUAGUGCAAUGGCAUAAGCCAGCUUGACUGCGAGCGUGACGGCGCGAGCAGGUGCGAAAGCAGGUCAUAGUGAUCCGGUGGUUCUGAAUGGAAGGGCCAUCGCUCAACGGAUAAAAGGUACUCCGGGGAUAACAGGCUGAUACCGCCCAAGAGUUCAUAUCGACGGCGGUGUUUGGCACCUCGAUGUCGGCUCAUCACAUCCUGGGGCUGAAGUAGGUCCCAAGGGUAUGGCUGUUCGCCAUUUAAAGUGGUACGCGAGCUGGGUUUAGAACGUCGUGAGACAGUUCGGUCCCUAUCUGCCGUGGGCGCUGGAGAACUGAGGGGGGCUGCUCCUAGUACGAGAGGACCGGAGUGGACGCAUCACUGGUGUUCGGGUUGUCAUGCCAAUGGCACUGCCCGGUAGCUAAAUGCGGAAGAGAUAAGUGCUGAAAGCAUCUAAGCACGAAACUUGCCCCGAGAUGAGUUCUCCCUGACCCUUUAAGGGUCCUGAAGGAACGUUGAAGACGACGACGUUGAUAGGCCGGGUGUGUAAGCGCAGCGAUGCGUUGAGCUAACCGGUACUAAUGAACCGUGAGGCUUAACCUU